ACAGGAUUAGAUACCCUGGUAGUCCACGCCGUAAACGGUGGGCACUAGUUGUGGGAACCUUCCACGGUUUCUGCGACGCAGCUAACGCAUUAAGUGCCCCGCCUGGGGAGUACGAUCGCAAGAUUAAAACUCAAAGGAAUUGACGGGGCCCCGCACAAGCAGCGGAGCAUGCGGCUUAGUUCGACGCAACGCGAAGAACCUUACCAAGGCUUGACAUAUACAGGAAUAUGGCAGAAAUGUCAUAGCCGCAAGGUCUGUAUACAGGUGGUGCAUGGUUGUCGUCAGCUCGUGUCGUGAGAUGUUGGGUUAAGUCCCGCAACGAGCGCAACCCUCGUUCUGUGUUGCCAGCAUUUAGUUGGGGACUCACAGGAGACUGCCGGGGUUAACUCGGAGGAAGGUGGGGAUGACGUCAAAUCAUCAUGCCCCUUAUGUCUUGGGCUGCACGCAUGCUACAAUGGCUGGUACAAACGGCUGCGAUACCGCAAGGUGGAGCGAAUCCGAUAAAGCCAGUCUCAGUUCGGAUUGGGGUCUGCAACUCGACCCCAUGAAGUCGGAGUUGCUAGUAAUCGUAGAUCAGCAACGCUACGGUGAAUACGUUCCCGGGGCUUGUACACACCGCCCGUCACGUCACGAAAGUCGGUAACACCCGAAGUCAGUGGCCCAACCGUAAGG
This 672-nucleotide ribosomal RNA is filed under the name uncultured Actinomycetes bacterium. RNAcentral's name for it is "bacterial SSU rRNA". It matches the Rfam family "Bacterial small subunit ribosomal RNA", at positions 772 to 1446 of the family's 1533-position model. The record is from RNAcentral. Lineage: Bacteria; Bacillati; Actinomycetota; Actinomycetes.